UUCGUAGGCGGGAUAUUAAGUCAGUGGUGAAAUCCUACAGCUUAACUGUAGAACUGCCAUUGAUACUGAUAUUCUUGAAUUCACCUGAAGUAGGCGGAACAUGACAUGUAGCGGUGAAAUGCUUAGAUAUGUCAUAGAACACCGAUUGCGAAGGCAGCUUACUAAAGUGAUAUUGACGCUGAUGGACGAAAGCGUGGGGAGCGAACAGGAUUAGAUACCCUGGUAGUCC
Molecule: ribosomal RNA, 229 nt
Filed under: uncultured bacterium
Lineage: Bacteria
Description: partial 16S ribosomal RNA
Rfam family: Bacterial small subunit ribosomal RNA
Source: RNAcentral